This 450-nucleotide ribosomal RNA is filed under the name uncultured bacterium. Its description in RNAcentral is "partial 16S ribosomal RNA". It matches the Rfam family "Bacterial small subunit ribosomal RNA", at positions 338 to 795 of the family's 1533-position model. The record is from RNAcentral.
CCUACGGGUGGCUGCAGUGGGGAAUUUUGCGCAAUGGACGAAAGUCUGACGCAGCAACGCCGCGUGGGUGAUGAAGGUCUUCGGAUUGUAAAACCCUGUCGUCGAGGACGAAGGUCGGAGUGUUAAUAGCACUUUGGCUUGACGGUACUCGGAGAGGAAGCCCCGGCUAACUCUGUGCCAGCAGCCGCGGUAAUACAGAGGGGGAAAGCGUUAUUCGGAAUUAUUGGGCGUAGAGGGCGCGUUGGGGGGUGCAAUCCCCGAGCUCAACUUGGGAACUGCAUCCGAGACUGGAAGGCUAGAGUACUGGAGAGGUUGGUGGAAUUCCACGUGUAGCGGUGAAAUGCGUAGAGAUGUGGAGGAACACCAGUGGCGAAGGCGGCCAACUGGACAGUAACUGACGCUGAGGCGCGAAAGUGUGGGUAGCAAACAGGAUUAGAUACCCCGGUAGUC